Molecule: ribosomal RNA, 496 nt
Filed under: uncultured bacterium
Lineage: Bacteria
Description: partial 16S ribosomal RNA
Rfam family: Bacterial small subunit ribosomal RNA
Source: RNAcentral
GAUGAACGCUGGCGGCGUGCCUAAUACAUGCAAGUCGAGCGAACAGACGAGGAGCUUGCUCCUCUGACGUUAGCGGCGGACGGGUGAGUAACACGUGGAUAACCUACCUAUAAGACUGGGAUAACUUCGGGAAACCGGAGCUAAUACCGGAUAAUAUAUUGAACCGCAUGGUUCAAUAGUGAAAGACGGUUUUGCUGUCACUUAUAGAUGGAUCCGCGCCGCAUUAGCUAGUUGGUAAGGUAACGGCUUACCAAGGCAACGAUGCGUAGCCGACCUGAGAGGGUGAUCGGCCACACUGGAACUGAGACACGGUCCAGACUCCUACGGGAGGCAGCAGUAGGGAAUCUUCCGCAAGGGGCGAAAGCCUGACGGAGCAACGCCGCGUGAGUGAUGAAGGUCUUCGGAUCGUAAAACUCUGUUAUUAGGAAAGAACAAAUGUGUAAGUAACUAUGCACGUCUUGACGGUACCUAACCAGAAAGCCACGGCUAACUACGU